Molecule: long non-coding RNA, 2839 nt
Filed under: Neodiprion pinetum (white pine sawfly)
Lineage: Eukaryota; Metazoa; Arthropoda; Insecta; Hymenoptera; Diprionidae
Description: uncharacterized LOC124215758
Source: RNAcentral
GGGCUCGAGCGUCACAAGUGCCAAGCUAAGGAACCAGCUGUAAUAAACACGACUCAAGUUGAUACGCCAGCGAUGCUCUCCGAGCGAGAGAUAAGAGGCAAGAAACGGAAUUACACAAGAGCGUUGCGCCGCGAGUUUUACGCAAAUGCGCACGUCGAAUUAUUCUCUGGCAAAUAAAACUUGUAAUUAGAAAUCCUAACGUCAGUCAACGCCGUCAUAGUAUUUGCAUGAAAAGUUUAAGCCUGAAUCUAACAACGACGGUUUGUGCAGUGUAACUACGUUGUGUGACUACGCUGUACAGUUUCAAGGCGACAAAUUCGAAUUGUAUACAACGGCAGUGUAUAACGGUAUAAUCAUCGUGCUUUCGGUCUUAUAAUUAGCUUGGAGAUGCUGCCUACGCUGGGUGAAUAUUUAGCAAGUUUGCGAAACCUCUAAGCCACAUCUAAGGAGGCCUGCGUCGGGGCUCUGAGUAGGUAUCCGAUUGGCGAGAACGCUGUCGACGUCUACGUAUGAAUACCGGAGUGACGAAUCCUGCGGACCUCGAAUUGAACCCAAUUCCACUAAAAGCCAAAGCCAAACUGACCACCGGGCUCAAUUCACAAAGGAAAUAAAUAUUCAGAUAAGGUCGUCUACUCGGCAGAAUCCCGAAGGUCCCACAGAGGAUACGUCGGGCGACUAUCGACGGACGUCGUCUGUUCAGAGAGAGAAUAUACUAUACACUGUCAUGUUUUUAUCUUAGCGACAGACUCUCGAGCAGUCUCAGCUCGCUAUUCCGUAACCGGAUCACACAAAGCCCCCUGUCUACGACGCGCUAAAGAUCCAAACAAUUUUGCUGACACAGGCUGAAUACGUAACGUACAGCUUACACAUUUUCCAGAGAUUGACACACGACUUUUAAUCCAGGUGUAUUCGCACUUUCAGCUUCCAAAUGCCGACUGCGGACGGAACGAUCCGUGCCAAAUUGAAAAGCGAUCCAAACGAUGAUCGAACGCUCAACUUGGAAGCAUCGCUACCACGAAAACAAAAAUUUACUUGAACGUUUGGCGGUGUGCUGAGUAUGUAAAGAACCGCAUCUGAGAUGUCCUUGGCCUGCAAUGUCGGAGCAUCGGGACUUCCUGUGUUUUCCACGCAAUAUUCUGCAGCCUCCAUGAUCUCGGUCUUCACCAGUCCAGGACUAAGACUCUGAAAAGCAUCUCAGCUCUGAUUAAGACGCAUAAAAAUACAAGAGUGAUACGCGGUACUGUGAAACAGAUAACAUGUCCGGACAUUCCGCUUUUCACUCGGCUUUUCUACUCACCGUCACUUUGAUGUUCGUUUUAGCGGAAAUUAGCUCCCGGCGAACAACCUCCGUCAUGGCGGUCAAUGCGUACUUGCUACUUGGAUAAAGGCUCAGAUGAUUCGGUAGAUUCGGAAUAGCAUGUCCGGUUACGCUGGAGUCGGAAUUGUUUGCAAAUGUAAGAUAAUUUCGUGAAACUGGGAGAGGAAUUUUACGUAUACUGAUCUGGCUUCGCGGGCAUCUGAUAAUGAUAAUAGCGAAGCGUCCGUUUACCUGUUGAUGUUUAUUAUAUGACCAUCGACUCGGCGAGCUCGCAUAUUCGCGACUGCCUCUCGUGUGCAUAUGGCCACUGCCAAGACAUUGACAUCCAGUACGCGCCGAAAGCCUUCCGUGUCUCCGCCUAAACGAGAAGACCUUGAAAAUAUAUUCACGCCAAUCGAGGAAAUUUGGUAUUCCUAUAACAUGCAGCAAGUAUAUGCGAAUGCCUAUGAGGCCAUUCGAAAAUCGUUAGUGAAAAAAAGAGCCAGAAAUCUUGUCUCAAUUUAGGAGAGACAUCGCGUCCUUCAUCUUAUUGUUGAUUUAAAUUCGACGCGAUGAUUUUUGCAGCCAUUUUAUAAAAAUUAUAUCGAAACCGAGGCGUUGGGUGAUGGAUAUUAGGGUAUAUCGAAAAACCACGUUUUUCAAAUUUCGACACGGUCUAGUGUUUCACUCCCCUACAGCUAUCUAUUGAAAAAAAAAAAAUAUACCAGUAUUGACUUUUCUUGUUCUCCUUACUAUAUUCAAGAAUAUUUGACUGUGUUAAAGAAAUUUCCAAAUUUAAAAAUGUUUUCCUUGAAACCGAUUUAUUUUUCUGUCAAGACCAAAAUUUUCCACGCUAGUCCGUGUCGAAAUUAGAAAAACGUGGCUUUUCGAUACACCCUAACGGAUAUACUAAAAAUUCAUUCUUGUUGCAUGGAGAAUCGAAUAGUUUUCUUUACUGAUAAUAUGGGCGAAGUGGGCGACACCCGCAUUGUUCACGAGGACGUCAAUUGCUCCGAGAUGAUCUCUGAUCCAUCUGAAGGCAUCCAAGAUUUCUUGCUCGUUCGAAACGUCGCAUUGGACCGGAUACAGCUUCCCUUUCGCGAUACUCAAGGCCUCGGCCGUGUCCUGGAGGCGAUUUUUUCUCCUCGCUAAGCCUACGACGAUCAUUCCUUCCCGAGCCAAAGCUUCGGCGAUGGAAGCCCCGAUCCCUGAAGAAGCUCCCGUAACAACGGCCACUCGACCCGCCCAACGCUCCAUGACUUAAAUUUUUACGGAUUGAAAUCUUCGUUCAACUUAUGCGAAUCUCCUGAUGAUCAAGUUUUUAUAAAGUUUUUAUGAAUCUAUCGCAGUAAUGUAUUCAGACGUGUUGUAUAACUUGGACAAAGACAGAAGCGUUUCCGUAUUUGAUCGACGGAUGAUAUCAUGCACGGGCUCGAACGCUGUGUAAUUAUCGGUGAAAAAAUAUUGCGCAGUCACGGCAAACAAGAUGAGGUGUAAUACAUGUUGAGGUACAUCAGAUAUUCAUCGCUGCCAAAAAUAAAA